Molecule: long non-coding RNA, 393 nt
Filed under: Panax ginseng (ginseng)
Lineage: Eukaryota; Viridiplantae; Streptophyta; Magnoliopsida; Apiales; Araliaceae
Description: long non-coding RNA (PGIN_LNC001535)
Source: RNAcentral
CUGAACAAAUAUAUCAAAUGGCCAAAGCUCAUACCCUGAGCAUAAAAUAGGAUACGCCGUGGACUAAUCACACCGCCACGGAAGGUGUCAUGCCCUUGUGUCAAGAGGACAUGCCUGUGGUACCCCCACAGGUGGUUAGCUCAAGUAUACCCUAAGGAUCAAACUACAAAAUGUAAGCCAAAAGGGGUUCAAAUCACAAGGCUUACAUGACCAUAUUCAAAUGAAAUUGAAUUAUCAAAUACAAACAUACCCAAUUAUUACAAGAUAUCAAUGAUCAAAACAACUUCGAGUGUGAACGAAAAUAUACGAACAAUGGUACAAACGAAUAAAGUCUCCAAAACAUGUUGACACGAUUAACUAGUUCAAAGAGUACAAAUACGAAUUCAAAUAUCA